GGCUUUAUAGUCUAAGUUUAUGAUGUUAGGUUGCAAAUCUAGAGGUGUAACUAUUACUAAAGCUU
This 65-nucleotide transfer RNA is filed under the name Mictis tenebrosa. Its description in RNAcentral is "tRNA-Cys". It matches the Rfam family "tRNA". From Rfam's summary of the family: Transfer RNA (tRNA) molecules are approximately 80 nucleotides in length. Their secondary structure includes four short double-helical elements and three loops (D, anti-codon, and T loops). Lineage: Eukaryota; Metazoa; Arthropoda; Insecta; Hemiptera; Coreidae. The record is from RNAcentral.